Molecule: long non-coding RNA, 3055 nt
Filed under: Rattus norvegicus (Norway rat)
Lineage: Eukaryota; Metazoa; Chordata; Mammalia; Rodentia; Muridae
Description: long non-coding RNA NONRATT013137
Source: RNAcentral
CAAGUGAUAAAACCCCAAGUCAUACAUUAUUACACAGUGCAGGUUUACAAAAGCCACUAAAUCAUUUGCCAUGCUAUUCGGGGGAAAUAUCGUUACAGUAGAACUGAAACAAGCCACAGAGUAGAAGAUGUGUUACUGAAAUAAAGCACACGCAGGCCUGCCUUUUGAAGCGUUUUUUCCCAUGGCAGAAUCAAAAUGUGUCUAUAUGAGGCUGAGGCACAGCUCGAGGAGGAAUCGUGGCAGAAGGUCCAUAGGAUAUGGUACGCUAGGCGAUCUGACUGUUUGCAAAUGUUGAUGAACCCACUAAUGAGACAAAACGUAAGCAGAUUAUGGUCUGCUUCUAUCCUCAAAGCCGGACACAUUGACAAUCCCAUAAACAGGAAGAGAGAUUCAACAACAGCAUUCAGAAGUCCUAGACUAUUGAGCAAUCUCAGGUCAUGGAUUUAAUCCUUUCUAUAACUUUCUGGAUGUGAUGAGAUUCAAUUUGUUGAUUUAAAGGCACAUGUAAUUAAAUGAUAAAAAAGAUGCAAAAGAAAGAAGGGACAUAAAAAGAAGUUUGGAACUGUGGGAGAUGCAAACAAAUAUGUUUAAGUGAGUGAAGAUGUUUCUGAAGUAGCCUGGAUAAAAGGGGCUUUGCAUGUUUCUGAUUUCCAAAGCUUUAAACCAAAAGGCUUUCUUCCUUUAUUUUCCUUAGGUCUUUUACCAAUUGGGAUAUCAGAUUUCUAAUAAUUAUGAUGACCCAUUGAAGUACAGUCAGUUGGGAUGCUGUUACUUGAUUCAAAUUAAAAUGCAAAACAAUACUGCCAUUUACAUUUCAAAAUGCGACUGGAUGUGGGGAUUCAAGGAAUCAUAGAAAGCAGCAAUCGAAGAGGAAAUUAGAUUGGCAUUUUUGUUUACAAGGAUAGAAAGGAUAACAGCAAUGUCUCUUAUUAAAGCAGCAUUUUUUUCUCUUUUCCCUUUCCAGUAACAUUGUUGAAGUUGUUAUGGAAAUUCUUUCUAAAACUAUGGGACCAACGGCAACAUCAGUGUGUUACAUUGUAUGCUAUGGCUGCGGUUCUGCUAUUGUGUAAAAGGGGCAGCAUGAGGAUUCUCUUUCACCAGCUCUUAACUCUUGUCUGUUUUCACAUAGGUGCGUGCCAGUGCAAUUGCCCAAGAUGCUGACCAGAAUUACGACUAUGCCAGUAACAGUGUGGUCCUUCACCUGGAACCAGGAGAUGAAGUCUACAUCAAAUUAGACGGUGGCAAAGCUCACGGAGGAAACAACAACAAAUACAGCACGUUCUCUGGAUUUAUCAUUUAUGCUGACUGAUAAUGCAGACGCUGAGCUUGCUGUUCUGAGUGUGAACGCUGGAUUCCUAUGGCUAACGUCAGUGAAUCGAGGAUCCCAGGGGAUGCCCAUUGCAGGGGCAUCUCGGUUGUGUAAAUGUGGGGAGAUCAAAUGCUACCUGACUCACAUCUGUAUUACUCAGACACAUUAUGUAAAAAAAAAAAAAGUAUUUAACGCAAGAUAAGCAGAUGUGUGAUCCACUACCGCCAAAGCAAAUACUCCUUACUGUUAGUGUCCAUGUGAAUGAAGUCCUAUAUAGACCACAAAUUUUUAUAGAAAAAUCUAAGACACUGAAUUAUUUCUCCGAUAUCUAUGAUACUUUGGUGUACUGUGAUCUUGCUGCUUUACCUACAUGUCAGCUUUGGUUCUUGUGAGAUUACCUGCUUAUUGAGGUACUUGGAGUCUACUUGUAGUGUAGGGAGGAGUGGUUUUCCCUGCAGGAGAGGGUCUGAUUGAAAUAAUGCUGCUUGUCCCCAAAGAUAUUGUUUGCCUUGUACUCUGGUUAUCUUUAGAGCUAGACCUGGGAAUGAUUCAACUUGAAGCCUUAACCUGGAAUUUUCUGGUUUUGUGGGAACUCCCAAGCCUGUGAUCAUUUUCCCAUUUUUUUUCCUCUUCAUGUGACUUUUUUUCCCCCCUCUCUUUUCUGGUGAUAGUCUUAAAAAAAUAGAGAUUGAAAUUGUAUCAUAGAAUUACCCUCUAAGUGUGAAAAUGUAUAGUUAUGUACGGUAUUUAGAAAAAAAAACCCUGUCUGUCCAUUUCAUCAAUAGAAUACAUUUAGACUCUCUUGAACAGUCAGACAGAUUUAUUCUUUGGUAUGAAGUCAGAUGGAGGCUUUUGCCUUCUUUGGAACAAAAGAUUGUUCAUAACCUAAGGCACAAAAAGUUUAAUUUGAGCUACUGCAUGGGUCACCAAGGGGACACUAAGUAAGGCCUUCAAACACUUACCGCAAAUCUGUAGCCUGAGGUUGUUUCAAAAUUAACAGUUUCACAUAGAACCAAUAUGCCAACAAAGUGUAUAUAUUUUAUAUAAAUAUCUGCCACACACUUAUUUAUAUACAUAUACGUUAGAUGAAAAUAUUAUAUAUACAUGGCUUCAGUCCACUAGACACAGUGGCGGUAGAGCUCAAAAAAACUAAUUUAAAAAGUAUAUAUGUAUUCACACAGAACCAUGCACAAAUUAUUUGACUUAUUUUAGAUUGAAAUAUAUUUUAGAUGACACAAAUAUAGAGAGUAGUAAAGUCAUAAAAGCGACUUCUCUUUAAGGGUUAUCCAGAAAAUCAAAUCGCAGUAGAUUCCAAUGCCCCAUGUUGCACAUGUGAGAGUUACUUGAUCCCGUGGUUACCGUACUCCAUAUGCACUCUUUGGCAGACCCCUAACACAGGAGCUUGUUUCCUUGUUUCCUUGUUUAGGAAACAAGGAGCUCUCCCUCACAGUGUUUAUGAAACAAACACAUUCCAGUAGUCAAUUCUUUCUUUUCUUUCUGCUGGUUUGAAGCUGACAGGAUAGUGCGAACCCAUUCUCUCUAGUUAAAAACACUGCCAAGAGCCAUCUCUUUAGUGUAAGGGAAAGACCAAAACGCAUGCGAACAUGUCCUAGUAGCACACAAUUUCCCCUCUUACAGUGGGAAAUCUUUUUCCCCUUUUAGUUGCCGAUAAAUAAGCAUUAUUUUCUCUGUUUAGGCCUGAGGAAAAAAGAAAUAAAAGGUAAAUGAAAUAAAGGGACUAUAUAU